This 61-nucleotide transfer RNA is filed under the name Tinamus guttatus (white-throated tinamou). It matches the Rfam family "tRNA". From Rfam's summary of the family: Transfer RNA (tRNA) molecules are approximately 80 nucleotides in length. Their secondary structure includes four short double-helical elements and three loops (D, anti-codon, and T loops). Lineage: Eukaryota; Metazoa; Chordata; Aves; Tinamiformes; Tinamidae. The record is from Rfam by way of RNAcentral.
GACCUUGUAGCACAUCUGACUCCAGAUCAGAAGGCUGUGUGUUUGAAUUGCGUCGGGGUCA